UCCAUUGCCAUGGUAUAAAACCCAGUUGUCCCGUUGUAGUAUUGAUCAUGAUGAUAUGACCUAUCCUGUAUCCUAAAAUUCUGUUUGUCAUUAUGUCCACCAUUAGAUGAGACUGGAUAUCUAGGCCUAGUUAUUAUCCCCUGGUGAUUGUAAUGUUGUCCGUAAUAACCGCUUGUGUCCUCACCAUAAUACUUCCCAGAUCCAGAAGGUC
RNAcentral lists this unclassified non-coding RNA (211 nucleotides) under uncultured bacterium. RNAcentral's name for it is "contains 16S-23S intergenic spacer region". The record is from RNAcentral.